CAGAAGGAAGAUGGGGCCCCACAACAACUCUGCCCAGUCCAGAAUGAUGCCAUGCACUGAUCUGAUCCCGGGAGAAUGUUGGGCUUCUGAGAAAUUUCCGUAUGGAAGCUUGUCUUCACCUUGGCACAAAAUGGCCUACUGGACAAAGAACUGCCCUUGCCUCAACUGCUGACAGUAAAAUGGUCUGACAGAUACUCUAGGCCUGUAGCCAAUUUGAAUGUACCAGCAAUGCUGAGAAACUUUAGGUGACUGUCCAGGCUGCCAGCUGUCUCUAUCUACUCUCACAGGACUCCCGAAAGUUGUUUGCAUCCUUCUCCAGUUUCUCAGACGGAGAGGAGUCCACGAUGGUGGAGCAGAAGCUGCUGGCUCACAGCCGGAACCACAGAGAGCAGAGAAAGCAAGCUGAGUGUGAUACAAAGAGUCUUUAAACUAUCAAACCCUGUGUCAGUAGCACACUUCCUCCAACGAGGCCACAACUCCCAAUCCUCCUCAACAGUGUGACUCACUGGGGAUGAAGUACUCAAAAGCAGAGACUUUGCGGGGGGGAUAUUCUCAAACUACACAGGACUUAUCCCUAUUGGAUUUUAAGACACCUUCUCCCUUGCACUAUCAAUCCACCUCGAUAACCCUAUAGGAUGGCAUUCUUUCAACUUCCAGGAAUAAGCACCUGUUGAUCUGUGCUGCAGGCUGGUGCUGGACCUUCUUUAUGUGUCCACCCAGGAUACAUUCAUAUCUCUCUCUCUCUCUCUCUCUCUCUCUCUCUCUCUCUCUCUCU
Peromyscus maniculatus bairdii (prairie deer mouse) is the source of this 775-nucleotide non-coding RNA. The record is from RefSeq and is a predicted model, not a curated record. NCBI's taxonomy places the organism in Eukaryota, Metazoa, Chordata, Mammalia, Rodentia, Cricetidae.